CCAGGCCCAGGCAAUGGCUUCCAAAAAUAGCUAGCGAGCAAGCUGCAAGUUUCCUUGUACAAUGAAGAACAUGGAGCAUCACAUUUACUGAUUUCAUCACUUAAAUUUGCAGAUUUUUACUUUUUUCAUUGAAAUUGACAAUUUAUUUUCACAAGCAAUCAUCUGAGAUAAAGUCUAAUUUUGUUUCUACUAUCAAUUUCUCGUACACCGCAGCCCAAUUUCACUCAGUCAUAAUAAGCUAAUAUUUUCUUCCAAUUUAAAUAAAAUUAAUUCAAUACUUGCAUUACAAUUCAAAUUUGAUCAAAAAACAAUAAAAACUGCUAUUAAAUUGUUAUUUGAGCUCUUGAAAAUUGAGAAAAUCAACAUAAACUAUUCUGAUCUGCUAACCUCACAAUUGUAAUUUUUGGCUAUGCGGUGAUUAAUUAAAGAAAUGAAAAUAUUUUAAAAUAUGAUGAAGAAAAUGAACAAGAAGAAACUGGAGGAGAUGGAAAAGAAGAAACUGAAGAGGAUACAUGAAGAAAAUUUGAAGAAGAUCUAUUGAUGAACAUUGGUAUGAUAGAAGAAAUUGUCCAAUAUGGAGACACAGGACGUAAAUAGAUUGAAAACACAUCCGUCUGCACCACAUAAUCUGUGGUUUCUACUGCUACAAUUGACUCUCCGUGCUCUGUGACCAUUGGAUUUCAAAACUGUACCACUCUCGGCUCGGUUGAGAAAGGGAACACAGUUCCCGAAAAUUUCCGUUUCUAAUAACUAUGAUCCGUUUCGAAUGUACACACUUUUUCAAUGAACUUCAUCCACUUCGGCAUAGCUUCAUGGUAUCACCGUUGGUCAGGGUGACUUCUAGAGGCCAGCUCCACUAAGAAUUAUGAACUUCACUUCCCGGAGGUCUGGAUUCUACCUAAAUCUAAAGGUCUACCUCCUCUGGAGGGAAAACAUGCAAGGAGAUGGUGAAGAACAUUCUUCGGAGACUCGUGACAGACAAUGUUGGAAUGCUCUUCAGCUGGUUGGGAGGAAAGGGAAAACGUUGCUUUCCAAUUCGCCACUGGUGGAGGUAAUCUACGAACUACGCCUCAAAUUCCGAUAAAUGUCAGUGCUGCUCAAAAGUUUGACUGAAAGUGACUUAAGAAAUAUGGGAAGAAAUCCAUGACACCCGUCAAUUAAACUGCUGGUUCCAUUGAAUGGUUCUGUAAUUUAUUUAAAAUAGUCUAUCAUUUCCUAGACACUAGGGCCUACCUAUUUUAAAUUGGAUCGAAUUAGUAACCACUGAAGCGUCACAUAAAUUUAAACGUUUUUGUCACUAAGAAGUCAAACAGGUUCUAGAAUUAUGUAGAUUGAUAUAGUUGAAAGUCAUUUAUAUCAGAAAAUUUUGAUAACAUUUUCAAAUAAAUUAAUGAGAUUCACUCACCAUUCAUUGAAGCUCAAUGAUUCCUUGAUUCAAUGGAAAUUACAUAGCCUUCAACUUUAAUGUGUUAUUAUAAAAAUAAAUACGAAUAUUCA
Molecule: unclassified non-coding RNA, 1497 nt
Filed under: Nilaparvata lugens (brown planthopper)
Lineage: Eukaryota; Metazoa; Arthropoda; Insecta; Hemiptera; Delphacidae
Description: uncharacterized LOC111050892, transcript variant X2
Source: RNAcentral